GCUGAAAUUUUGAGACACGGUUCGAUAUCUUCCCUAUCUAAUACAUCACUACGGUGGAAGCAGGCGUUAAACCAACAGUUACUACUACCUGUCUCCUGAAUAUCUUACAAAACAGAAUUACCAGUAGAUUCCAGUAGACCUGUAUCAAGAUGAGAUUCGCUUUGGUGUUACUGUUAGUGGUAAUGGUAGGACUUGUGGUUCCUGCUGAAAGCUGGAGAGUAAGAAUUAGACUAAGGAGGUUUUGGAGAAAAGUUAAACCCGCAGUAAUCACAGCAGCAAUUACAGGAAGAUCUACUGCUGAAAAGGUGGAUCUUGAUGCCCUGGCGAAAUCUCUAAAAUUGGAUCCAAAAUCAGAAGACUUUCUUGACAUCUUAAGUGUUAUAGAUACAAAUGGAGAUGAUAUCAUAACACCAGAGGAAGUCGAUGCAUUCUUUAACGACAGGAAAUAAAGAAAUCGGAGAUACACAAGGAUCCUAUUACGAUGUAUCAUUUAACAGCUGUAUUAUCACCUGAAUAAAUCAGGAGCAUCAUUA
This is a long non-coding RNA of Patella vulgata (common limpet), 533 nucleotides long. RefSeq lists it as uncharacterized. The record is from RefSeq and is a predicted model, not a curated record. The transcript is spliced from 5 exons. Lineage: Eukaryota; Metazoa; Mollusca; Gastropoda; Patellidae.